AUUUACCCUUUGUAGUUAUUUUGCCAGUGCUGCUGUCACUGACGUCAACACUUUUGACGUGAUGUCAUUAUUGCUUUUUAUUUUUUACUUUCACUUUAUGAAAAAAAAAUUAACUUUUUUUGUUAUACUCGUACAAAAGUUAGUGAGCGACACGAAAAUUGAUAUUUCAACUCAACAAUAUCCCAUUCCAAAAUUUUCAUUUGGUUUGACUUAUCGCCACUUGUAUCGGGUGUCAAUUUUUAUUGACAAAAAAAUAUCUUUUUAUGGAUUUAUGAAAAAUUGAUUAGAUCGCGCAGAAAUUCGCGUCUGUGAGUGAGGUUAAGAGCAGCCGGAGCGAAAACUAAUCCGCUUUCAUCCUACAAGAACAUAUGGCGUUGGUUUGAAUGGCGCUGGUUUGAAAUAAUAAUUUUAUACGGGUUAAACUCAGAUUUGCAUGGAAAAAAACCGGAAAAGUAGUACCGUUACUGGUUUUUCAAUGCUUUGGAAUCCCGAAUAUAUGUAUGUAUGUGACAUAUUGUAAUAAUAAUGUUAAUUAUCUCCGCUCUUUUCUCAAAUUAUGCGAGUUGAUGUUUUCCAACAAAUGGAGGGACCUGCAGUUUAUUCUAAGCCACCUCCGAACGACCGUUGGAUUUUUUUGAGAAGCUCUUAUUUCACACGGAGGGACCACCGUAAUAAGGAAAAUUGAUGCUUAUAGGAAAACCAACGUAAGUCCCGUGGUGGAUGCCUGGAAGCAUCAAUUUCACUGAUGCUUGAGCUCGUUGACUUGAGCAUUUUUCUCAUCAAGUCUUGAUGUUAUAAAAAAAACCAACCUACUUUCUCUACAUAAUCAAAACAAAUUUUCAUAACCUGAAAAAGCAGCGCCGUAAUUGCACAACAACGCUCUAGAUGUGCGCAUCCUUCUCAACAUCUGCUUUUCCAAUAUCCACUUUUAUCACUUUUUAAAGACUUACAAAACCAAAAGUAUUACACAACUUUCAACAACUUGAUUUACCACCCACAAACUGGGUAGCACCUGAUAAGUAGCACACACAGCCUGUGGUGAAACAUUUGGUUCGGUAGUACAAUUUCCCAACUUAAAUUGGACUAGUCUGAAAAUACGAAACUUUUAGUAUGACGAAACCGGACUUUUAGGUCAAAAAACAGUUUGGAACCACUUCAAAAAGGCUGGAUACAAAAAGGAGCUGGAUGUUUGGGUGCCAAAAUCGACCCCUUUCUAAAACGGAUGGUGGACUUCAAAUGAAAAGGGUCAUGGCCGGUCUCCAAGUCAGGAUUGGCACUAUGAGCUGCUUGCCUGCGGCCAAAUUUUUAAUUCGAGCCUGCACUGCCAGCAAUCGGGGCAUAUAAAAGUAGCAAUCUUCCAUAAGAGCGCAGCUUUGGCCACUGGAAUGGGAAUUGUGUUUAAUCAGGACAACGCCAGACCACUCACGUCGUUAGUGAGUCGCCAGAAGAUAAGAAAGCUUGGUUGAUGAUUUGCCUGGUGAAGAGUUGGCCUCAAGAAAAGUUGCUGAAAAUCGUUUGUCCCAGUUUUUUGCCAACAGAGAUUAGAGUUUCAUUUCAAAAUGGUAAAAAGUUAUCGCGCAAAACGAUGCAUAUUUGGCAUGUAUCGGAUAAUUCUAAUUACUGGAUGGCUUUCUACUAGAAUACUAUUAUCCAUCAAGAUUUGUAUUCAUUUUGAUGAAUGUAGUUUUUUUUUUUUGUUCUUUGGAAUUUCUCAACUCCUAGGACGGCGCAGUGUUGGAAUCAUCACUUUGCGUCAUGCGCUAUUAACUUUUUGUUGCAAAUUAGUAAGCGAAAGAGCUAUUUGUUUUAUACAAAUCGAAUAUUUUGUUGUUAAACAAAAAAAGUGUUUGAAGCGGCAGCUGAAAGCCUUUGGUGAGCUCCUUCGUAAUACCUGCAGACCAGUUGACUCUCCUGCUAGGUGCGGCAGGUGCGUAUAUGCGCAAGGUGAUAUUUCGAGAAGUAGAAUGGGUGAAUGACAGGGUUUGCAAGCCAAAUAGGACGUACGCAGCUGCAAAAACCACAAAAGUUGACAAUUUAUUACAGGGAAGCGAUGAAAGACAAAAAAAUGAAGCAAAAGUAAACGUAAAAGCUUGAACGAAGAGCAAAAUUAGCAUGGGAAAUAGUAAAAGUAAAGAGAAACGUGGACAAAGAGUAAUGUACCGCUGAUUAAUAUGAAAACUAUUAUGCUUGUGUGUGCGCAUGUGUGCGUUGCGCGCUUAAAGAGAACAGAAACAGAGAACGUGUACACAAAAUGCAGUUCGCCCAACUUAACUCAACUGCUAAAUUAAGUUGAUAAACGUUUCGGCAAAGCGGCAAAAAUGAAAGAGCAAAAGUGCAAUGGGAUUUAGGGACGCUCGCAGAGUGGCAAAUGGCACCACUGGUAAAGCAAGGGUUAAAUUGUCACAAGCUGUGCGAGUUAAAAGUGCAGAUAAAUCCAGAGCUAACGGUUAAAUUUAUACGAGUAUAUCAACUGAAUGCAACUCCAAAGAAACAGAUGCAAAAAUGCAAAAACAACGAAAUAUUUUCAAGUGCUGUAAUUAAUCGCCGACCAUCAUUGACUUUCGUUUUUUAUUAACCCACUAAAAUACUUAUCAUCAACGUCGACAAGAAAAAGCUGAAUAACCACAUACUGUAGCCGGUUCAAGGCUAAAUCAAUCACGGAUCAUACAACCACACACACGCACGUUCGAUGGCUGCUGCAAUGCUAGCCGUAAAAGGCAAGAACCCGCCGCAUCAGACAUUCCGUCACCAUAAUUGGCACACCGAUGAUGGACCAGCGGAAGAAGCACAAAAUGACGUGCAAGCACUUGCACACACAUACGUACAUAUAAUACAUAUACGGAAUGCAUAUACAUACAUACAAGUGUAUACAUAUGUACAUGUAGACAUUUAUAUUACAUAGUCGUUAUGUAUGUAUGUUCAAAAACCAUGAAUUUUGAUCUACUCCCAUAUAUGUAUGUAUUGUAAGAGCAUUAAAUUAUGCAAUUUCUAUAUUUAAAUGCAAUUUCGUUAUUCCAUAAUAAUAACAAUAUGCACACAUAGUCACAUUGGAACCGGCAAUGGAUGACAGAUGAGCUUGAACUCAGACAAAAAGUACCGCCUUUUAGCCUACACACCUUGCUUCAUAGAUCGCCCACCAAUACAUUUAAGAGAAAUUCAACUCCUCACCCAUUUCAAGUUCAGCCAGCUAAAAAAAAAAAGCGUAGACUGAGCCCUACGGCUUAACACAUUUUCUUCAGCUAUGCCUGAUUGCUUUCUAACUCUUGCGUUUGCGAAUACCAAUGAAAGGGAAUAAGUAAAGAGAGCGGAAUGGCUUGUUGGCAUGGACGUGUUGCUUAUUUUAAGAAAAGCUCAUGAAUGCUGCAUUGGUUAAAUACGAGUUUCUUCGGAAUCAAGCCAGAAGAUACAGUAACCAAUGCUAGUAGAAUAAAAGAAUUUCUUUAAAGAAUUUCCUAGAAAAGUUUCUUUAAGUUAUUUAUUAGAUAUCUGAAAGAAUUAUUGCGCAUAUAUAUAUAUAUAUAUACAUCAGAGAUUCUAAGCUAAGAAAACGAUGCAAUUUGUUUAUAAGAAAAAUUUACUUAACGAAAUGAUUUUGUUUCGUUCCGGCGCCAAGUUAUCGAAACGAAUGACAUUGUUAAUGCUGGAACCAGAGAACGUCAAACAACGAGAAGGACCGAUUGCGGUCAGCAUGUGAACUGCCAGAAUCGACGAAAGAAAUAAGAGACUAUUGCACCACUGCGGCUUCCCAAGCAAAAUCAUAAAAGAAGUUAAUAAAAUAAUUGUCUCCCAAACAUCAUUCUCCUGUAAAUAAUUUGUCAGUCUCUGGUAAUUCGUAGUUAACUGGCGGUGGAAC
Long non-coding RNA from Ceratitis capitata (Mediterranean fruit fly), 3853 nucleotides. RefSeq lists it as uncharacterized. The record is from RefSeq and is a predicted model, not a curated record. The transcript is spliced from 4 exons. NCBI's taxonomy places the organism in Eukaryota, Metazoa, Arthropoda, Insecta, Diptera, Tephritidae.